AAAAACAUCGCCUUCUGCCACUAAUAGAAGGUCUAGCCUGCCCAGUGAAAAUUUAAACGGCCGCGGUACUUUAACCGUGCAAAGGUAGCACAAUCACUUGUCUCCUAAAUAGAGACCAGUAUGAAUGGCAUCACGAGGGUUACACUGUCUCCCCACUUUAAUCAGUGAAACUAAUCUCCCCGUGAAGAAGCGGGGAUAAAUAUAUAAGACGAGAAGACCCCAUGGAGCUUUAAACUAAAAACAUCCGCAUAUUUUAUGCCACUUAAACCUAGCAGAUUUGUUUUCUAGUUUUUGGUUGGGGCGACCGCGGAGUAAAACAAAACCUCCACGAUGAAGGGAAAUAAUGACCUAAUUCAAGAGCAACCGCUCGCAAAAUCAAAAUAUUGACCUAUGACCCAAAAAUCUUUGAGUAACGAACCAAGUUACCCUGGGGAUAACAGCGCAAUCCAUCCCAAGAGCUCCUAUCGACAGAUGGGUUUACGACCUCGAUGUUGGAUCAGGGUAUCCCAGUGGUGAAGCCGCUACUAAAGGUUCGUUUGUUCAACGAUUAAAACCCUACGUGAUCUGAGUUCA
Molecule: ribosomal RNA, 573 nt
Filed under: Sphenophryne sp. RODS-2018
Lineage: Eukaryota; Metazoa; Chordata; Amphibia; Anura; Microhylidae
Description: partial 16S ribosomal RNA
Rfam family: Bacterial large subunit ribosomal RNA
Source: RNAcentral